GCGAGGGUGACCACCUCCCCCACUGCACCCCCCAGGGUGUGCUCCGUGCGCUCCGUGGACGGCUCACCCACGACGGCCUUCACAGUGCUGGAGUGCGAGGGCUCCCGGCGGCUCGGCUCUCGGCCCCGGCGCUACCUGCUCACCGGCCAGGCCAACGGCAGCUUGGCCAUGUGGGACCUAACCACCGCCAUGGACGGCCUCGGCCAGGCCCCUGCAGGUGGCCUGACGGAGCAAGAGCUGAUGGAACAGCUGGAACACUGCGAGCUGGCCCCGCCAGCUCCCUCAGCUCCCUCAUGGGGCUGUCUCCCCAGCCCCUCACCCCGCAUCUCCCUCACCAGCCUCCACUCAGCCUCCAGCAACACCUCCUUGUCUGGCCACCGUGGGAGCCCAAGCCCCCCGCAGGCUGAGGCCCGGCGCCGUGGUGGGGGCAGCUUUGUGGAACGCUGCCAG
This 450-nucleotide small RNA is filed under the name Pan troglodytes (chimpanzee). RNAcentral describes it as "retained intron". The record is from RNAcentral. Lineage: Eukaryota; Metazoa; Chordata; Mammalia; Primates; Hominidae.